Molecule: ribosomal RNA, 274 nt
Filed under: uncultured bacterium
Lineage: Bacteria
Description: partial 16S ribosomal RNA
Rfam family: Bacterial small subunit ribosomal RNA
Source: RNAcentral
AUACGGAGGGUGCAAGCGUUAUUCGGAAUCACAGGGCGUAAAGGACGCGUAGGCGGGUUGGCAAGUCAGAUGUGAAAUCCUACAGCUUAACUGUAGAACUGCAUUUGAAACUGCUAACCUAGAGUAUGGGAGGGGGAGAUGGAAUUAGUGGUGUAGGGGUAAAAUCCGUAGAUAUCACUAGGAAUACCGAAAGCGAAGGCGAUCUCCUGGAACAUAACUGACGCUAAGGCGUGAAAGCGUGGGGAGCAAACAGGAUUAGAUACCCCAGUAGUCC